GGUUGUAACCCUCCCAUCUCUUUGCACACUUACAUGAAAUUAACCAUCACUGGGCAGCACACCUAUUUGGACCAAAAGCUCCUGCAGAGCUGGCACCAUGAGCAGUGGGGAGGGUUCAGUGGGCAACGGGGAUACAACAGUGAACAAAUCAAAAACAAACACAACAACAAAAACACCCUGCUUUGAUGAAGUUUACCUUCCAGAGGGAGAGACAGAUAAAUUACAAAACAACUCUGCGUUACCCAGGGGGCAUGGGAAUCCACACUGAAGUGGGAACCUACCAAAGCAGGGUCACAGCCCUCUAUCUCUGUGUGUGACAUUGGCCAAACUACUGUCCCUCUCCAGUGCUCAGGAAACCUUUUAAACAUCAUGGAUGUUUGCAGACACAGAACUAGAUGUCCACCCGCAUUCCCUGGUUGACACAGAGCCCAGAAUCCUGUGGAAGAAACCACAACUCUAAUCCACAACUCCUCC
Long non-coding RNA from Ailuropoda melanoleuca (giant panda), 474 nucleotides. RefSeq lists it as uncharacterized. The transcript is spliced from 4 exons. NCBI's taxonomy places the organism in Eukaryota, Metazoa, Chordata, Mammalia, Carnivora, Ursidae. The record is from RefSeq and is a predicted model, not a curated record.